Molecule: long non-coding RNA, 1377 nt
Filed under: Manihot esculenta (cassava)
Lineage: Eukaryota; Viridiplantae; Streptophyta; Magnoliopsida; Malpighiales; Euphorbiaceae
Description: long non-coding RNA (MESC_LNC009151)
Source: RNAcentral
UAGCAGAUAGGACUCAAGACCCUAUCCUAGUGGACAUGAUUUCCUAUUGUGCUUGACCACUUCUAACCUGUCUGAGCCCAACACUGUCUCUAUAGGUCCGAUCAUGUGAACCUAGGGCUCUGAUACCAAUCUGUAACGACCCCAAAAAGGACCGUCACCGGCGCUCGGAUUCAGGUCGGCUUAAGGCCGCCAGAACCCGUAGCAAGCCUGCUAUACUCGCUAUGUACCUGUAAACCUCAUACAUGAUCAUACAUUUGCAGUAAAAAUAAAACUCUUUUCUGAACCAGGGCUUAACCUGUGCAUGCACUAUCUCUGUACUCUGUACUCAUGUACUCUGUACUCUGUAUCCCUGACUAGAGCUUGCUCUAGAUGGGUUAAUUCAUACCUGUUAAGCCUGGUUUUCACAUACAGGAAAAACAUAUAUACAUAUACAGAUCAUGUACAAAACAUACAUCACUAGGUCAAGCAACAACUAUUACAUCUUUUUCAUAUUCCAUGUCCACUCUAAGCUAUUACAGAUCUCUUCACUUUUCCUGUACUCUGCUGGACUGUCCCUGUACACUGUACACUGAACCUGCAAAACUGGGGUUAAGGGAGUGGGAUGAGCUCUAUAGCCCAGUGAGUAGAACAGUAAAACAUCUCAGUAAAAUAUGAUCUCAUGGAAUGCGCCAUAUCACAGACAAGCCACAUCAAGAGUAAACCUGUCACCACAUAGUCCCAGUAACUCUGUGCCAGGGCGUAGAAUCGAGCACCUGGUCUUCCUGUCAUAUAUGUAUAUGUGUAUAUAACACCUGUGAACUUACCAUUGCCAGGGCGUAGUCAAAGGCUCCUGGACUUUGCUAUAUACCUGCCAGGGCGUAGUCAAAGGCUCCUGGUCUUUGCUAUACGUGCCAGGGCGUAGUCAAAGGCUCCUGGACUUCCUGUCUGUGACUAUUGGAUCAUUCAGCAUUUACUCACAUCAUCAAAUAACAAUGCGAUGCAACAUAUUCGUGGAUACUAAUGCAAUCAUCCUAUGACAUAAUCAUGAUGCAUGAGAUAUGCUAAAAGCAGUUUGUAGUUUAAUUAAAAAUCAUCAGUCUUCAGUUUAGUUCCACUCACCUCUGGCUAACUGGACUGACUGACUCUGCAGGUUCUGAAUCUCUGGAGCAGUACUCACUGCUGCUCUCUCUGGUUCCUCUGGUCUGUAUAAGCACAUAAAGACUCAAAUGAGGGACCAAACAAGCUUAUGACCAACUCUCUUAAACUCCCCAAGAAUCCCCUUACACUCACUCUACUAGUCAUGCAAAACAAGCAAAGGAAAGCUGGACAGAACACUUUCGGCGGCAGGUUCGGCGGCCGAAUGUCCUCUCCAGAGACGAAACUCAAGCACCUUCGGCG